RNAcentral lists this RNase P RNA (464 nucleotides) under Duncaniella sp. RNAcentral describes it as "RNase P RNA component class A". It matches the Rfam family "Bacterial RNase P class A". Rfam says of the family: Ribonuclease P (RNase P) is a ubiquitous endoribonuclease, found in archaea, bacteria and eukarya as well as chloroplasts and mitochondria. Its best characterised activity is the generation of mature 5'-ends of tRNAs by cleaving the 5'-leader elements of precursor-tRNAs. Cellular RNase Ps are ribonucleoproteins. The record is from RNAcentral. Lineage: Bacteria; Pseudomonadati; Bacteroidota; Bacteroidia; Bacteroidales; Muribaculaceae.
GUAGCAGGACGGUCGUGUCGCUUGCCGACUAAGAGCGGCAAGAGGAAAGUCCGGGCAACACAGAGCACCAUACUCUUUAACUGAGAGCUGUCGGUGACGGCAGAGUAGCGUGACAGAGAAUGACAGCCCCGCGCCCCUGUGUGCGGAGGUGAUGGUGAAAAGGUGGGGUAAGAGCCCACCGGGUACUGUGGCGACACAGUAUGCCGCACGUCUUAUGGGUUGCAAGGCCAUGUAUACCGGAGUGUGACAGCUUUCUCGGCUUGUCCGAAAGCUGUCCGAUGGGCUGCUCGUCCAUUUCCGGGGGGUAGGCUGCUCGAGUGCCGAAGCCUUGCGAGGCACCACUUAGAUAAAUGACUGCGACCGCCGCGGCAACCUGUCGGACAUUUAUCUCUCCCUCUGAGGAGAAGAACGCCUGACGAGAAGUCCCGCGACGACAUAACCCGGCUUAUAGUCCUGCUACCUUU